Long non-coding RNA from Oreochromis aureus, 2849 nucleotides. The record is from Ensembl. Lineage: Eukaryota; Metazoa; Chordata; Actinopteri; Cichliformes; Cichlidae.
AUAAAAUGACAUCACAGCAUUUAAACAUGUUUUGAAUGAAAACAUCAGCAUAUGAACACAAAACUGAAGAGACACUGCAACCGCAUGAAAGCAGACCACUAUUUAGUGACAUUUCGACGUUUCCCUGAGGAUUAACUGCUCCGUAAUUUACCAAGAACUAAAGUAAGCUCAAAUUUCAGUUUAUAAACUUAAGAUCAUUUACUUAAAUAUAUAAAUGUAAUAUUUGACAAAUUAUACAUAAAUUUGAAAAUGUUCUUAAUCAUAUCUUAGAGUGACAGAAGCUCUUUUUAACACGAUUAUUUCUGAGAUUAUUUUGUUCAUUUAGGAAAAUAGAGAAGACUUAAGUUUUGUUCUCAAACAAACUGAGGCUGCGUCCACAUGUACACGGCUAUUUUUGAAAGCGCAGCUUUGUCUCUGCAUUCGGGCCUUUCGUCCACACCUAAACAGCAGAUUGAGUCACUGAAAGGUGAGAUUUUUUUAAAACUCCUGCCAGGGUGGAGAUUUUUGAAAACGACGUUUUUGUGUUUAGGUGUGGAUGAGGAAAACGGACAUAUGGACUGGAUUUUUUUUUUUAAAUGAAAAAGGAAAACGUCCGUUUUCAAACAUAGCCGUGUACGUUCGGACGCAGCCUAAAGUUAUCUCAAAAAAAGCAAAUUGUCUGAACAUUCUGAGUUGAGGUUUAGUGAUCAUUGUUGUUUUGUGUUCCUUGUAGUCAAAAUGAGUGGAAGUGGAGAUGGAUUUCAAACUAACCGUAACGGCCAACAGGUUAACCCACAAUCAAUUGCAAGUGGAGAUCAGGAACCUGCUCAUCAACCAGCUAACCGAAGAGCUAACCGAAGAGCUAACCGGCGAGCUAACCGACGAGCUAACCGACCAGCUAACCGACCAGCUAACGAAGAUAUCGGUGGACUCCGGGGCUUCGCGAACGAUCUUUAUCUUGCUCUUCGUGAUAUUUAUUUGUUUCUGGAUAGGCUAAUAGCUUCAGUACUGGAACAAUAUGACAAUUACCUUUACAAUGACACUGACACUGACGAUGACACUGACGAUGACGAUGACAAUGACAACAAUGUCAAUGUUCAAAAUAUUAAUGUAAGGGAAUUUAAUGCUAAUGCUGACAACAAUGAACAGCAUGAGGAUCAUAAUGCUGUGGUUGUUGUUGGCAUUGAAAAUGAGGAUUCGGAUGAGGCAUUUGAAGACUGUGUGGAUGUUGACCAGCACAUCCCAGAAGAGGACCCUCAGCCAGGUGUAUCCAGGAGGAGGUCUAGAGAGAUGGAUGAAGAAGAAGAUGUGGAACCAAACAAAAGAAUCAGAUGGAGCGAGGAGUUUUCUGAUGAUGACUCUGACUUCUUCUCUGCUUGUGACACUGAUAGCGAGAGCUGUCCUCGUGUAGGUAAUAUUGCCGAUGAGGACAUCAGUCAGCAGUCAACAGAAGAAGAACCGCAGCCUGGUGGAUCCACGAAAAGGUCCAGAGAGGAAGAUGUUGAUGAAGAAGAGCGUGAUAGCAAAAAAUCCAGGCUUGCACACUCUGAUUCGGGGACCAGCUCAGCUGUGUGUACGACCACUCUGAGAGCAGCAGUGAUGAACUUUUUGAAGAUGCACACGAAGAGCUUGGCAACCAUGAAGGUGGAGGCUCGAGGAAGUGUUCCCGAGAGGAUUUUGAGGAAGAAGAGGAAUACUUGCCUGUAUGCAAAUUUCGGAGGUGUUCAACUGAGUCCAGCAGCAGCAGUGAUGAAGACUAACACCAUUUCGACGGGUUUCUUCAGUAUCCUUUUAGUAGGCUGAUGGCCUACUCAGGUGACCCUGAAUCCUCCAUGCUGCAAUAAGCUGGGCAUACACUGUGCUGCAAUUUUUUCAGUCGCGUUAUUCAGCUCCUGGUCAAACUGUACGAUUGACUCACAGGGAUGAGAAGUUUGUGCCUCCAUCGCUCGUGUCCAGAUCACACGCCGCACCGCCGUUCUGCUCCGUCUUUUCACACUCAUUUCUGCGUUUGCGCGUGCGCAGUGUAAGACGCUAUGUUCACAGGAAAAUGCCACCAAUACACAAUGGCGAUAUGACAUACACAGCACAAAUAAAAGCAUAAUAGGAAAAUUAAUAGAAUAAAUCUAUACAAACAUGGCCAGCAUUAACCGGUAGAAAAGGCAAGAUUAAACAAAUACGUUUUAAGCCGUGAUUUAAAAGAUUGGAUAGAAUCAGAUGCCCGGAUGCCAAUCGGAAGGUUGUGCGCGUGCGCAGUGUAAGAUGCUGUGGUGACGCCCUCAGGACGGCCGACAGGAUUUCAAACAGGUUUGAUUUUCUUACGAGCAAACGAUUGAUGAUCGGGAGCUGGUCGAGAAGUGUUAAUCGCUUCUCGUUACCCCAUGUAGACGAUGCACGACACACGAUCCUCCAAACGGUCGCACGACUGAAAAAUCGGCUCAAGAUGGGCUAAAAAUCGCACAGUGUAUGCCCAGCAUUAGGCUGCCGGGGGAUUCCCAUGAUGCACUGGGUGUUUCUUCUUCACCCACUAUGUUUAAUAGACCUCUCUGCACUGAAUCGUACUUGUUAUUAACCUCUGUCUCUCUUCCACAGCAUCUCUUUAUCCUGUUUUCCUUGCCCCUCCCCAACCGGUCGCAGCAGAUGGCCGCCCCUCCCUGAGCCUGGUUCUGCUGGAGGUUUCUUCCUGUUAAAAGGGAGUUUUUCCUUCCCACUGUCGCCAAAGUGCUUGCUCAUAGGGGGUCAUAUGAUUGUUGGGGUUUUCUUUGUAAGUAUACCUUACAACAUCAAGUGCCUUGAGGUGACUGUUGCUGUCAUUUGGUGCUCUAUAAAUAAAAUUGAAUUGAAAAUUGAAUAGAUGUCACUGUGAUGAUUUC